UUGCCAGAUAUUUUUAGCAAAUUCUGUGCAAGGCUGCAGUACCUUGGGCCUAAAGUUCUACCUUUGUUGGGAUGACCAGUUCAUUCCACUCUUUAGGGUAUUAUGAUACAGUUUGUAUAGAGAAGGGAAUCCUUGAAGAACCCAGAGGACUAGAAAGUCCAGGCAAGUAUGUGUUGCUUUCUGGGAAUAUACAUUUAUUUUGUUUCCAUUUUUCCUAAGACCCCUACCAAGGAGGUAAUGGCUCUGGCCAGGUGCCAGCCAGGAAGUUAAACAACAGUACAUUGGCAGCAUUAAGGAUAUUUAUUUAACAGCCCAUUUCUGCAAGGCCAACGUGAAGGGGGUGCUGAACAGGACGGGGAAAUAAAGUGCAAAUUAGUUCAUUCGGCCUCUCAAUUCUAUUCUCUCUACCCUGUAUGUUUGAAAUUUUCUAUAAUAAAAACAAACAAGGUCA
Molecule: long non-coding RNA, 451 nt
Organism: Nycticebus coucang (slow loris)
Lineage: Eukaryota; Metazoa; Chordata; Mammalia; Primates; Lorisidae
Exons: 2
Source: RefSeq, a predicted model, not a curated record